This 77-nucleotide transfer RNA is filed under the name Actinomycetes bacterium. RNAcentral's name for it is "tRNA-Met". It matches the Rfam family "tRNA". Rfam says of the family: Transfer RNA (tRNA) molecules are approximately 80 nucleotides in length. Their secondary structure includes four short double-helical elements and three loops (D, anti-codon, and T loops). Lineage: Bacteria; Bacillati; Actinomycetota; Actinomycetes. The record is from RNAcentral. RNAcentral also lists the same sequence under 9 other names.
CGCGGGGUGGAGCAGCUCGGUAGCUCGUCGGGCUCAUAACCCGAAGGUCGCAGGUUCAAAUCCUGCCCCCGCCACCA